UAGUAACGUACAUGAUAUUACGAGUUGCUCGGUUUUACAGUUUAGUACUCUACGGCGUUUGCCUGUCCAGCUAGCUUACAUAAAAGUACAUUGAUUCUCCCCUGAUCCUUUUCAAAUACGGUCAAAGAUGUUAACAUCAUGAGAGAAGAAAUAGCAGUCACUCUCCUCCAACACUGGGGUGAGGGUCAGAUUCGCGCUUAUCGUCCGAGGAAUGAGCAUUACAACGAGGCCUGUACUCUGGAGCGGGAUCGAUUUGUAGGCUGGCAGGUGUGUUUAGGGACAUAUUCAACCAAUCCCUAUCCAGUCUUGUCCCCACAUGCUUCAAGAUGACCACCAUUGUUCCUG
Long non-coding RNA from Salvelinus namaycush (lake trout), 345 nucleotides. RefSeq lists it as uncharacterized. Lineage: Eukaryota; Metazoa; Chordata; Actinopteri; Salmoniformes; Salmonidae. The record is from RefSeq and is a predicted model, not a curated record. The transcript has 3 exons.